RNAcentral lists this ribosomal RNA (356 nucleotides) under uncultured Thermus sp. Its description in RNAcentral is "bacterial SSU rRNA". It matches the Rfam family "Bacterial small subunit ribosomal RNA", at positions 1025 to 1382 of the family's 1533-position model. Lineage: Bacteria; Thermotogati; Deinococcota; Deinococci; Thermales; Thermaceae. The record is from RNAcentral.
CGCGUACACACAGGUGCUGCACGGCUGUCGUCAGCUCGUGCCGUGAGGUGUUGGGUUAAGUCCCGCAACGAGCGCAACCCCGCCGUUAGUUGCCAGCGGUUCGGCCGGGCACUCUAACGGGACUGCCCGCGAAAGCGGGAGGAAGGAGGGGACGACGUCUGGUCAGCAUGGCCCUUACGGCCUGGGCGACACACGUGCUACAAUGCCCACUACAAAGCGAUGCCACCCGGCAACGGGGAGCUAAUCGCAAAAAGGUGGGCCCAGUUCGGAUUGGGGUCUGCAACCCGACCCCAUGAAGCCGGAAUCGCUAGUAAUCGCGGAUCAGCCAUGCCGCGGUGAAUACGUUCCCGGGCCUU